Balaenoptera ricei (Rice's whale) is the source of this 73-nucleotide non-coding RNA. NCBI's taxonomy places the organism in Eukaryota, Metazoa, Chordata, Mammalia, Artiodactyla, Balaenopteridae. The record is from the annotation of a RefSeq genome assembly.
UCCCUGGUGGUCCAGUGGUUAAGACUCUGCACUACCACCGCAGGGGGCCUGGGUUCAAUCCCUGGUUGGGGAA